GCAUGGCGUCAGAGUUUGGUCGUUUUUCGGGAUGCAGCACAUCGCGAACUUUAUGGUCAUACUCUCGGUGGUGGUGAGGCGGCUCACAGGCCACACUCCUACAUCCUGAGCAAGCGGCCAAACGGCUGGUCGUGGAGUGCCUGCACGGCAGACCAGCCGACGGUGUUAAGGGCCGUUGUCCCGGCGAGGAGCUGCUUCGACAAAGCAGUAGGGCCUCGACGACGAGGCGACCGGCGAUGCCGUAGCAACGCCGUAGCUUGGCUCCUGGCUACAGAAAAGCUAGCCUGGGGGAGAGCUGGCCACCCUACCCUAGGUAGACAUGUUCUACCUAUAGGAAGCCGCUAGCGCCCGCUCGUGCAGCAAGGGACGGAAAGGGAGAAGUGGGCCCUGGCGAUUUGGGGAAGGAAGAAGAUGAAAGAAAGGAGCGGGCAGAGGUGGGUGUGAUUAAUCGUUAAAUAAGGAACGUUUGCGUCAAUUUGAGUCAUAUAUUUAGUUCUGCAAGCAAACUGAAGCUUCAUUCUUUCGCACAUGACCUGAAACAACUGGUCGGUUGUAAGUGGCCACCGUAUGGCAUUGGAGGUGAAUUGAGCCGACACACUGCCAGUAGGGGUCUAAUGGAUACCUAUCUCACUUCUUCCAACACCACUUGCGCCGGGUGCUCCUCGUGGCAGAAGAGGUUCAUCUUCGCAGUCGAGGUGGCGGAGAGGAACGCCAUGGGCAUGGAUCUGAGCUUGCGCGAACUCGGAGAAUGCGUUGGGCAAGUGGAGGAGCUGGCGGCGCUGGAGGCCAUUGACAUGUCCAGCGCUGUCCCCGUAGCAGCUAACACACGCGGACACAGGAACCUGCAAAACAUGCACCUGAUGUGUGUCCGUAGGCACCUGCUUGUCCUGCAUUUUGCACUAGCGGCUCAAGCGGAAAAAGCAGGCUCUUCGGUCGACU
Long non-coding RNA from Lolium perenne, 939 nucleotides. RefSeq lists it as uncharacterized. The record is from RefSeq and is a predicted model, not a curated record. NCBI's taxonomy places the organism in Eukaryota, Viridiplantae, Streptophyta, Magnoliopsida, Poales, Poaceae.